This 406-nucleotide ribosomal RNA is filed under the name uncultured bacterium. Its description in RNAcentral is "partial 16S ribosomal RNA". It matches the Rfam family "Bacterial small subunit ribosomal RNA", at positions 30 to 526 of the family's 1533-position model. The record is from RNAcentral.
CUUGAACGCUGGCGGCAGGCCUAACACAUGCAAGUCGAACGAGUAGAGGCCGGGUGGGUAAUGUCUGGGAAACUGCCUGAUGGAUGGGGAUAACUACUGGAACCGGUAGCUAAUACCGCAUACCAUCAGCUGUGCCCAGAUGGGAUUAGAGUGUUGGUGGGGUAACGGCUCACCAAGGCGAAGAUCACUAUCUGGUCUGAGCGGAUGACCGGCCACACGGGAACUGAGACACGGUGCAGACGCCGACGGGAGGCAGCAGUGGGGAAGAUUGCACAAUGGGCGCAAGCCUGAUGCAGCAAUGCCGCGUGUAUGACGAAGGCCUUCGGGUUGUAAAGUACUUUCAGCGGGGAGGCGUUACCCGCAGAAGAAGCACCGGCUAACUCCGUGCCAGCAGCCGCGGUAAUAC